UGGGAAAUGAGUUUUAGGUUGAUUUUAGUUUGAACUCGAGUUUGCAAAUCAACAGCUGUUUGUGGUGGUUGUGUUCAAGAGACUCAGAAGAAAUCAAAACAGCUGUUUAAAUGGUUUUCUUGAGCUGGAUUUGGAUUUUGAGAUAAGCAGAAGGGUUAGAUGAAUGUUAGGACAGGGAUGAAGCAUUUAUUGUUGGUGGUCUUGGUUUGUGAUGAAUUCAGAAAUGCGGGAAGACAUUACAACCGGGUUGGUUGUAGCUGAAGAUGAAGUUGCAGGUGCAGGGUAAGAUGCAGUUGGAGUUGUUUGGUUCUGGAUGCUACAGGGAAGAAGGUCUGGAGAUUGUAUGGCUAAGGUGUUAAGAAUGGAUGUAGUAGUGAAUGAAUGGGUUAAAGGAUAUUGAUGGAGAAUUUGUGCAUGCAGCUGAACUGUAAUAUGCAGUGACUGAAAUGGUGUAGUCUCGCUCCUUAUAUCAACACAUGGACAGGAGAAGAAAGGUCGAACUUCUCUGUUCAUUUUGGAACAACUAUGCAGUAUGAUAUGUCCAUCAAAGCCGGAGCCUUUUAUCUUUUAAUUUUGAACAAGGCGCAUACCCAAGAAGAGUUCAU
Molecule: long non-coding RNA, 605 nt
Organism: Papaver somniferum (opium poppy)
Lineage: Eukaryota; Viridiplantae; Streptophyta; Magnoliopsida; Ranunculales; Papaveraceae
Exons: 3
Source: RefSeq, a predicted model, not a curated record